This 301-nucleotide long non-coding RNA is filed under the name Panax ginseng (ginseng). RNAcentral's name for it is "long non-coding RNA (PGIN_LNC010563)". The record is from RNAcentral. Lineage: Eukaryota; Viridiplantae; Streptophyta; Magnoliopsida; Apiales; Araliaceae.
AAAAAGCCCCCGUUAUAAAAAUAAAGAGAAAAGAAAAGCAUAAGUAUUCCAUUUUGACUCUUGAAUUCGGGUGAUUGUUUAAGUUUAGUUGAAGCAAGUAUAUUUGAUGAGUUCUCAAGUUACACUGUAUGAUGCUUACUAAGAAAUUUAUUAUCUUUCAUAUUUUUGCCUUUCAUGGGUUAGCAUGGUUGUUGAACACACACUCACAAUAUCAGUAAUAACAAAUUCAGAUUCGUUGAUUGUUGGGAUAUCAUUGAUCUGUGUUAACAUGAUGUAUUAGCAUAUUUUUGUGAUUUUUCUG